UAGCCUUGACAUUGAUUGAAUUUUCCAGAGAUGGAGAAGUGCCUUCGGGAACAUGAAAACAGGUGCUGCACGGCUGUCGUCAGCUCGUGUCGUGAGAUGUUGGGUUAAGUCCCGCAACGAGCGCAACCCUCGUCACUAGUUACUAACGGUUCGGCCGAGGACUCUAGUGAGACUGCCUUCGUAAGGAGGAGGAAGGUGAGGACGACGUCAAGUCAUCAUGGCCCUUACGGCUAGGGCAACACACGUGCUACAAUGGUUAGGACAAUGAGAAGCGAUACCGCGAGGUGGAGCAAAUCUAUAAACCUAAUCUCAGUUCGGAUAGCAGUCUGCAACUCGACUGCUUGAAGCUGGAAUCACUAGUAAUCGUAGAUCAGCUAUGCUACUGUGAAUACGUUCCCGGGUCU
RNAcentral lists this ribosomal RNA (404 nucleotides) under uncultured bacterium. RNAcentral describes it as "bacterial SSU rRNA". It matches the Rfam family "Bacterial small subunit ribosomal RNA", at positions 976 to 1381 of the family's 1533-position model. The record is from RNAcentral.